CCUACGGGUGGCAGCAGUGGGGAAUAUUGGACAAUGGGCGAAAGCCUGAUCCAGCCAUGCCGCGUGUGUGAAGAAGGCCUUCGGGUUGUAAAGCACUUUCAGUGGGGAAGAAAGCCUUGGGGCUAAUACCCUCGAGGAAGGACAUCACCCACAGAAGAAGCACCGGCUAACUACGUGCCAGCAGCCGCGGUAAUACGGAGGGUGCGAGCGUUAAUCGGAAUUACUGGGCGUAAAGCGCGCGUAGGCGGUCUGAUAAGCCGGUUGUGAAAGCCCCGGGCUCAACCUGGGAACGGCAUCCGGAACUGUCAGGCUAGAGUGCAGGAGAGGAAGGUAGAAUUCCCGGUGUAGCGGUGAAAUGCGUAGAGAUCGGGAGGAAUACCAGUGGCGAAGGCGGCCUUCUGGACUGACACUGACGCUGAGGUGCGAAAGCGUGGGUAGCAAACAGGAUUAGAUACCCUAGUAGUC
Molecule: ribosomal RNA, 465 nt
Filed under: Vreelandella stevensii
Lineage: Bacteria; Pseudomonadati; Pseudomonadota; Gammaproteobacteria; Oceanospirillales; Halomonadaceae
Description: partial 16S ribosomal RNA
Rfam family: Bacterial small subunit ribosomal RNA
Source: RNAcentral